This 28-nucleotide ribosomal RNA is filed under the name Paramecium multimicronucleatum. Its description in RNAcentral is "partial 18S ribosomal RNA". The record is from RNAcentral. Lineage: Eukaryota; Ciliophora; Oligohymenophorea; Peniculida; Parameciidae.
AGGGGUGAACCUGCGGAAGGAUCAUUCA